GAUGAACGCUGGCGGCGUGCCUAAUACAUGCAAGUCGAGCGAACGGACGAGAAGCUUGCUUCUCUGAUGUUAGCGGCGGACGGGUGAGUAACACGUGGAUAACCUACCUAUAAGACUGGGAUAACUUCGGGAAACCGUAGCUAAUACCGGAUAAUAUUUUGAACCGCAUGGUUCAAAAGUGAAAGACGGUCUUGCUGUCACUUAUAGCUGGAUCCGCGCUGCAUUAGCUAGUUGGUAAGGUAACGGCUUACCAAGGCAACGAUGCAUAGCCGACCUGAGAGGGUGAUCGGCCACCCUGGAACUGAGACACGGUCAAGACUACUACGGGAGGCAGCAGUAGGGAAUCUUCCGCAAUGGGCGAAAGCCUGACGGAGCAACGCCGCGUGAGUGAUGAAGGUCUUCGGAUCGUAAAACUCUGUUAUUAGGGAAGAACAUAUGUGUAAGUAACUGUGCACAUCUUGACGGUAACUAAUCAGAAAGCCACGGCUAACUACGUG
RNAcentral lists this ribosomal RNA (497 nucleotides) under uncultured bacterium. Its description in RNAcentral is "partial 16S ribosomal RNA". It matches the Rfam family "Bacterial small subunit ribosomal RNA", at positions 28 to 507 of the family's 1533-position model. The record is from RNAcentral.